CCAAAUCCUACGGGAGCUGCAGUAGGGAUCUUCCACAAUGGCGAAAGCCUGAUGAGCAACGCCGCGUGUGUGAUGAAGGCUUUCGGGUCGUAAAGCACUGUUGUAUGGAAGAAAAGUUAAGGUAGGGAAUGACCUUAGCCUGACGGUACCAUACCAGAAAGGGACGGCUAAAUACGUGCCAGCAGCCGCGGUAAUACGUAUGUCCCGAGCGUUAUCCGGAUUUAUUGGGCGUAAAGCGAGCGCAGACGGUUGGUUAAGUCUGAUGUGAAAGCCCGGAGCUCAACUCCGGAAAGGCAUUGGAAACUGGUUAACUUGAGUGCAGUAGAGGUAAGUGGAACUCCAUGUGUAGCGGUGGAAUGCGUAGAUAUAUGGAAGAACACCAGCGGCGAAGGCGGCUUACUGGACUGUAACUGACGUUGAGGCUCGAAAGUGUGGGUAGCAAACAGGAUUAGAUACCCUGGUAGUCCACACCGUAAACGAUGAACACUAGGUGUUAGGAGGUUUCCGCCUCUUAGUGCCGAAGCUAACGCAUUAAGUGUUCCGCCUGGGGAGUACGACCGCAAGGUUGAAACUCAAAGGAAUUGACGGGGACCCGCACAAGCGGUGGAGCAUGUGGUUUAAUUCGAAGCAACGCGAAGAACCUUACCAGGUCUUGACAUCCUUUGAAGCUUUUAGAAAUAGAAGUGUUCUCUUCGGAGACAAAGUGACAGGUGGUGCAUGGUCGUCGUCAGCUCGUGUCGUGAGAUGUUGGGUUAAGUCCCGCAACGAGCGCAACCCUUAUUGUUAGUUGCCAGCAUUCAGAUGGGCACUCUAGCGAGACUGCCGGUGACAAACCGGAGGAAGGCGGGGACGACGUCAGAUCAUCAUGCCCCUUAUGACCUGGGCUACACACGUGCUACAAUGGCGUAUACAACGAGUUGCCAACCUGCGAAGGUGAGCUAAUCUCUUAAAGUACGUCUCAGUUCGGACUGCAGUCUGCAACUCGACUGCACGAAGUCGGAAUCGCUAGUAAUCGCGGAUCAGCACGCCGCGGUGAAUACGUUCCCGGGUCUUGUACACACCGCCCGUCACACCAUGGAAGUUUGUAAUGCCCAAAGCCGGUGGCCUAACCGUAAGGAGGGAACCGUCUAAGGC
Molecule: ribosomal RNA, 1134 nt
Filed under: Leuconostoc carnosum
Lineage: Bacteria; Bacillati; Bacillota; Bacilli; Lactobacillales; Lactobacillaceae
Description: bacterial SSU rRNA
Rfam family: Bacterial small subunit ribosomal RNA
Source: RNAcentral